GACGAACGCUGGCGGCGUGCUUAACACAUGCAAGUCGAACGGAAAGGCCCUGCUUUUUUGGGGUGCUCGAGUGGCGAACGGGUGAGUAACACGUGAGUAACCUGCCCUUGACUUUGGGAUAACUUCAGGAAACUGGAGCUAAUACCGGAUAGGAGCUCCUGCUGCUUGGUGGGGGUUGGAAAGUUUCGGCGGUUGGGGAUGGACUCGCGGCUUAUCAGCUUGUUGGUGGGGUAGUGGCUUACCAAGGCUUGGACGGGUAGCCGGCCUGAGAGGGUGACCGGCCACAUUGGGACUGGGAUAAGGCCCAGACUCCUACGGGAGGCAGCAGUGGGGAAUAUUGCACAAUGGGCGGAAGCCUGAUGCAGCAACGCCGCGUGGGGGAUGACGGCCUUCGGGUUGUAAACCGCUUUCGCCUGUGACGAAGCGUGAGUGACGGUAAUGGGUAAAGAAGCACCGGCUAACUACGUG
Molecule: ribosomal RNA, 468 nt
Filed under: uncultured bacterium
Lineage: Bacteria
Description: partial 16S ribosomal RNA
Rfam family: Bacterial small subunit ribosomal RNA
Source: RNAcentral